RNAcentral lists this ribosomal RNA (484 nucleotides) under uncultured bacterium. Its description in RNAcentral is "partial 16S ribosomal RNA". It matches the Rfam family "Bacterial small subunit ribosomal RNA", at positions 28 to 523 of the family's 1533-position model. The record is from RNAcentral.
GACGAACGCUGGCGGCGUGCUUAACACAUGCAAGACGAACGAUGAAGCCGGAGCUUGCUCUGGUGAAUUAGUGGCGAACGGGUGAGUAACACGUGAGUAACCUGCACUUGACUCUGGGAUAACUGCUAGAAAUGGUAGCUAAUACCGGAUACGACCCUCGGCGGCAUCGCCAGGGGGUGGAAAGAAUUUCGGUCAAGGAUGGACUCGCGGCCUAUCAGCUAGUUGGUGAGGUAACGGCUCACCAAGGCGACGACGGGUAGCCGGCCUGAGAGGGUGACCGGACACACUGGUACUGAGACACGGCCCAGACUCCUACGGGAGGCAGCAGUGGGGAAUAGUGCACAAUGGGCGCAGGCCUGAUGCAGCAACGCCGCGUGAGGGAUGACGGCCUUCGGGUUGUAAACCUCUUUUAGUAGGGAAGAAGCGAAAGUGACGGUACCUGCAGAAAAAGCACCGGCUAACUACGUGCCAGCAGCCGCAGUAA